This 473-nucleotide ribosomal RNA is filed under the name uncultured Acaulospora. RNAcentral describes it as "SSU rRNA". It matches the Rfam family "Eukaryotic small subunit ribosomal RNA", at positions 569 to 1045 of the family's 1831-position model. The record is from RNAcentral. Lineage: Eukaryota; Fungi; Glomeromycota; Glomeromycetes; Diversisporales; Acaulosporaceae.
AGCAGCCGCGGUAAUUCCAGCUCCAAUAGCGUAUAUUAAAGUUGUUGCAGUUAAAAAGCUCGUAGUUGAAUUUCGGGAUUUGUCAAUUGGUCGGGCUUCACUGUCCGUACUGAUUUGAUGGAUUCUUACCUUCUGAAUAACCAGCAUGCUAUUAAGUUAGUGCGUUGGGGAAGCAGAUCUAUUACCUUGAAAAAUUAGAGUGCUUAAAGCGGGCUAGUGCUUGAAUAGAUUAGCAUGGAAUAAUAAAAUAGGACGGCAUGGUUCUAUUUUGUUGGUUUCUAGGAUCACCGUAAUGAUUAAUAGGGAUAGUUGGGGGCAUUAGUAUUCAAUUGUCAGAGGUGAAAUUCUUGGAUUUAUUGAAGACUAACUUCUGCGAAAGCAUUUGCCAAGGAUGUUCUCAUUAAUCAAGAACGAAAGUUAGGGGAUCGAAGACGAUCAGAUACCGUCGUAGUCUUAACCAUAAACUAUAGCCG